Molecule: ribosomal RNA, 464 nt
Filed under: uncultured bacterium
Lineage: Bacteria
Description: partial 16S ribosomal RNA
Rfam family: Bacterial small subunit ribosomal RNA
Source: RNAcentral
CUACGGGUCGCUGCAGUGGGGAAUAUUACACAAUGGGCGCAAGCCUGAUGCAGCCAUGCCGCGUGUAUGAAGAAGGCCUUCGGGUUGUAAAGUACUUUCAGCGGGGAGGAAGGGAGUAAAGUUAAUACCUUUGCUCAUUGACGUUACCCGCAGAAGAAGCACCGGCUAACUCCGUGCCAGCAGCCGCGGUAAUACGGAGGGUGCAAGCGUUAAUCGGAAUUACUGGGCGUAAAGCGCACGCAGGCGGUUUGUUAAGUCAGAUGUGAAAUCCCCGGGCUCAACCUGGGAACUGCAUCUGAUACUGGCAAGCUUGAGUCUCGUAGAGGGGGGUAGAAUUCCAGGUGUAGCGGUGACAUGCGUAGAGAUCUGGAGGAAUACCGGUGGCGAAGGCGGCCCCCUGGACGAAGACUGACGCUCAGGUGCGAAAGCGUGGGGAGCAAACAGGAUUAGAUACCCGCGUAGUC